UAAUACGGAGGGUGCAAGCGUUGCUCGGAAUUACUGGGCGUAAAGCGUACGCAGGCGGCCAAUUAAGUCGGAUGUGAAAGCCCUGGGCUCAACCCAGGAACUGCAUUCGAAACUGGUUGGCUUGAGUGUGAGAGAGGGAAGUGGAAUUCCAGGUGUAGAGGUGAAAUUCGUUGAUAUCUGGAGGAACGCCGGCGGCGAAGGCGGCUUCCUGGCUCACAACUGACGCUCAUGUACGAAAGCGUGGGUAGCAAACAGGAUUAGAUACCCUGGUAGUCCACGCCGUAAACGAUGUUUGCUAGGUGUUGGUGGAAUUUACCCCAUCAGUGCCGCAGUUAACGCAUUAAGCAAACCGCCUGGGGAGUACGGUCGCAAGAUUA
This 377-nucleotide ribosomal RNA is filed under the name uncultured delta proteobacterium. RNAcentral describes it as "bacterial SSU rRNA". It matches the Rfam family "Bacterial small subunit ribosomal RNA", at positions 521 to 896 of the family's 1533-position model. The record is from RNAcentral. Lineage: Bacteria; Deltaproteobacteria.